UAUCAAUAAGCGGAGGAAAAGAAACCAACAGGGAUUGCCUCAGUAACGGCGAGUGAAGCGGCAAAAGCUCAAAUUUGGAAUCUGGCACUUUCAGUGUCCGAGUUGUAAUUUGAAGACCGGUGCUUUGGGGCUCGGAGGUGUGGAACAGGACGUCGCAGAGGGUGAGAAUCCCGUGCGAUACCUCUUUGAGUCUCGUGUAAAGCCCAGUCGACGAGUCGAGUUGUUUGGGAAUGCAGCUCUAAGUGGGUGGUAAAUUCCAUCUAAAGCUAAAUACUGGCGAGAGACCGAUAGCGAACAAGUACAGUGAUGGAAAGAUGAAAAGAACUUUGAAAAGAGAGUGAAAAAGUACGUGAAAUUGUUGAAAGGGAAGGGCUUGAGAUCAGACUUGGGAUUGCUCUUCGGGGUGGUUUCCAGGCCAGCAUCAGGUGGAGGGGCGAGAUAAGACGGCAGGAACGUGGCUUUGCUUCGGUGAAGUGUUAUAGCCUGCUGAGAUAUCGCCAUCUUCGCCUGAGGACUGCGCUUCGGCAAGGAUGCUGGCAUAAUGAUCUUAAGCCGCCCGUCUUGAACCACGGACCAAAAUUUACU
Molecule: ribosomal RNA, 585 nt
Filed under: Wickerhamia sp.
Lineage: Eukaryota; Fungi; Ascomycota; Pichiomycetes; Serinales; Debaryomycetaceae
Description: eukaryotic LSU rRNA
Rfam family: Eukaryotic large subunit ribosomal RNA
Source: RNAcentral